Cephus cinctus (wheat stem sawfly) is the source of this 1133-nucleotide long non-coding RNA. RefSeq lists it as uncharacterized. Lineage: Eukaryota; Metazoa; Arthropoda; Insecta; Hymenoptera; Cephidae. The record is from RefSeq and is a predicted model, not a curated record. The transcript is spliced from 7 exons.
GUAUGUACAUACAUACAGUUUGACAGAUUGGGGUUAUCGUAGGGCACCAGUUUAUUUUAAUUUUUAUUAAAGAAAAAAAUCGUAACAUUGUGCGUUUAAUAUUCCGUGAAAAAGCAGUGAAGCGCGUUAUGGAAUUGCGUAUAUAGGAGAACACUUGAGAUAUUAUUUUUGGAAGUCGAAAAAAUGUGGAAUAGAAUCUGCUCGUGAAUGACAGGUUGUAGGUUGUUUUUUUUCUGAUAAAAGAAGUGAUUACAAACGAUGUCGUUUAUAAAAAAAUAGAAAUCGAUCGAUGGAGUCAAAGGAGAGGAGUACGAGGAUAAAAACAGAUGUGCACCACUAAAAUAUGAAAAGUUACUGUAACUUAUAGAGCAUUUCGUAUUAAACCGAGUAAAAAGCAUGGAAGAAAAAAAUACAGAGGAAACAAGAAAGUACAACUCUCCAAUCGCAGCUCAUAGCGUGCAAGAGGAACUGGAAGAGAUGCAAUCAGGGGCGUGAUGUAUUACAUAUUUUAGAUAAUGCAAGAACGACAGAUGAAUUGGUUGUGUACUUUGUUUAGAGCGAAGAAAAGCAUGAAUCACCAACCAUCGCUGAUGUGGAUAAGGACAACAGAUUUCGAGGCUAUACAAUAUAGGAAUUCGCAAGCUGAAAAUGAAGAUGAUGAGCAAAUUGUGGAAUCAUCGCAAAUGACGAACCUACGUUUGUGAUGACAGAGGCCGGAACGAGCAGAUAAACGUAAUGGGUACUAGAGAUAUAUAGCGAUGCUAAUUCAUGGUACAUCCUACCAACUCAGAAGACUGUUGAAAAACGUGCUUCUAUAAUAAUAAUUUGAUGGGAAAUUCUACAAAAGAAAAGCGAAUAAAGCGUUUACAUAUAGCGGCUAUUUAUAGGAUGCAAGAGGAACUAGAAGAAAUGCAAAUGAGGACGCGCAUAAAACCGCUCAGAUAUGUGUAUGUUUUUAUGCAGUUUUUGGUUCUGAAUCUCUAAGUUUUCAUAUACUUAAGAGCGGUGAUGGCUUGUUUGUAAAAUUAACUUAAUAGUCUUUAUAGGCCAAAGAUUAAUUGUUAAUGAAACUGUAAUGUAGGCAUAAAAAACGAUACUUAUUAUAAAUAAAAAAAACGAAGUAUUUCAAUGAA